RNAcentral lists this ribosomal RNA (305 nucleotides) under uncultured bacterium. RNAcentral describes it as "bacterial SSU rRNA". It matches the Rfam family "Bacterial small subunit ribosomal RNA", at positions 338 to 641 of the family's 1533-position model. The record is from RNAcentral.
CCUACGGGGGGCAGCAGUGAGGAAUAUUGGUCAAUGGCCGCAGGGCUGAACCAGCCAAGUCGCGUGAGGGAUGACGGUCCUAUGGAUUGUAAACCUCUUUUGUCAGGGAGCAAAGGGCGCCACGUGUGGCGCUUUGCGAGUACCUGAAGAAAAAGCAUCGGCUAACUCCGUGCCAGCAGCCGCGGUAAUACGGAGGAUGCGAGCGUUAUCCGGAUUUAUUGGGUUUAAAGGGUGCGCAGGCGGCCUGUUAAGUCAGCGGUAAAAGCCAGGGGCUCAACCCCGGCGAGCCGUUGAAACUGGCGGGG